This is a long non-coding RNA of Hyla sarda, 499 nucleotides long. RefSeq lists it as uncharacterized. The record is from RefSeq and is a predicted model, not a curated record. The transcript has 3 exons. NCBI's taxonomy places the organism in Eukaryota, Metazoa, Chordata, Amphibia, Anura, Hylidae.
GUUUGUCAAAAUUUCCAUCUACAAGCAAAUGAUAAUACAGUCCACACAAUACAAAAAGGCACUUUCCAGUGAUUACUGUCAGAACUUGACAGCUGAAGUGGUUAAAGACACUAAAGACAACCGAAGAAAGGGUCCAAUAUUCUCCCUCAAAUUCAGGACAAACAGUUCUUCCUCUCUGUGUCUCACAUCCAGGUAUUUUCACAUUUGUUAUGAUCAGUUGUGUCCAAAGGCAUCAUCAAUGUUGCUGUAGACCUCUCUGGUCUACAGGAAAGAAGAAGUGAAGAAACUGCUACUGCGAUGUGAAUAUUAUUUGAUUAAACAACUAAAUACCUUAAAAUGGAGACCCCGAACCUUCUUCAAACUGUAUAUAGCUCACGCACCAUUGGUGUGUGGCUCCAAGCUGUGUGCUAGGGCAUAACUGUGGUUUAGCAGACAGCAGCAAAAAUAGUAAGGGGGCCCACGCAAGGAUCGGGGAAACGGGUUAUAAAGACGCAGUCCC